CCUACGGGAGGCUGCAGUGGGGGAUAUUGCACAAUGGGGGAAACCCUGAUGCAGCGACGCCGCGUGAGCGAAGAAGUAUUUCGGUAUGUAAAGCUCUAUCAGCAGGGAAGAAAAUGACGGUACCUGACUAAGACGCUCCGGCUAAAUACGUGCCAGCAGCCGCGGUACUACGUAUGGAGCAAGCGUUAUCCGGAUUUCCUGGGUGUAAAGGGAGCGUAGGCGGUAAGGCAAGUCUGAUGUGAAAGGGCAGGGCGCAACCCUGUAACUGCAUUGGACACUGUUUAACUGGAGUGUCGGAGGGGCAAGUGGAAUUGCGAGUGUAGCGGUGAAAUGCGUAGAGAUUAGGAGGAACACCAGUGGCGAAGGAGGCUUGCUGGACGAUGACUGACGCUGAGGCUCGAAAGCGUGGGGAGCAAACAGGAGUAGAUACCCUUGUAGU
This 439-nucleotide ribosomal RNA is filed under the name uncultured bacterium. Its description in RNAcentral is "partial 16S ribosomal RNA". It matches the Rfam family "Bacterial small subunit ribosomal RNA", at positions 338 to 794 of the family's 1533-position model. The record is from RNAcentral.